This 316-nucleotide ribosomal RNA is filed under the name uncultured bacterium. RNAcentral describes it as "bacterial SSU rRNA". It matches the Rfam family "Bacterial small subunit ribosomal RNA", at positions 28 to 334 of the family's 1533-position model. The record is from RNAcentral.
GACGAACGCUGGCGGCGGGCUUAACACAUGCAAGUCGAACGAGAAAGGUUCUUCGGAACCGAGUAAAGUGGCGCACGGGUGAGUAACGCGUGGGUAAUCUACCUUUUGGAUGGGGGAUAACCAAGGGAAACUUUGGCUAAUACCGAGUAAGCUUAUUGACUCGUAAAGUUUCGAUAAGGAAAGAUGGUGCAAGCUAUCGCCGAAAGAUGAGCCUGCGUCCCAUUAGCUUGUUGGUGGGGUAAAAGCCUACCAAGGCUACGAUGGGUAACUGGUCUGAGAGGAUGAUCAGUCACACUGGAACUGAAACACGGUCCAG